RNAcentral lists this small nuclear RNA (341 nucleotides) under Octodon degus (degu). Its description in RNAcentral is "7SK RNA (ENSODEG00000022988.1)". The stretch from base 1 to 291 matches the Rfam family "7SK RNA". From Rfam's summary of the family: 7SK was discovered as an abundant small nuclear RNA in the mid-70s but a possible function has only recently been suggested. Two independent studies have found that 7SK RNA binds the CDK9/cyclin T complex (known as elongation factor P-TEFb). The record is from RNAcentral. Lineage: Eukaryota; Metazoa; Chordata; Mammalia; Rodentia; Octodontidae.
GGAUGUGAGGGCGAUUUGGUUGCGACAUCUGUCAUUCCACUGAUCUCCAGGGCUUCCUCUGCUGAUGUGGCUGUCUAGGUGGCGGUCUGCUUCCCCCCCUCAGUGCUCCAUGUGUGUCCCUAGUGUGCUCAGUCGAAGAGAACGACCACGCCUAACAGAGGAGGACCGCUCCUAGGUCAAGGGUGUAGAGGUAGCUGCGCUGCUCUGCUAGAAUCUCCAAACAAGCUCUCAAAUUAAGUUGCAAAAACCAUGAGAAACAUGUCCUGUGGAAUUAUUCAUGUGCAGGUCGAUACUGAUACAGAUACAGACACAUACACACCCACAGACUCGCACUUUUUUCU